Molecule: long non-coding RNA, 695 nt
Organism: Rosa rugosa (rugosa rose)
Lineage: Eukaryota; Viridiplantae; Streptophyta; Magnoliopsida; Rosales; Rosaceae
Exons: 4
Source: RefSeq, a predicted model, not a curated record
ACUAAGGUGGUUGACCCUAAAAUUCGGCGUUUCAAUGACUUGUUUCAGAAAUACAGAAAAGUAUGUGAAGAAGGGUCUCUUUCUGAUCAAAAGUAUGAUAUUGCAAAACGUUUGCUAGAGGAGGCCUUGACACAAUGUGGAAGCAUCAGUCAUUCUAUUAAUGUCAAUAAAGAAAUGGUGAAGAACAUUGACAAAGAGAAUGUCAAUAACAAAGUGAGCUGUGACAUCCAUAUUCUUGAUCCAAAAGUUUCAAGCACAAAAGGAGCACCUAAAAGAAUACGAUCUGGAGUUGAGAUCAGUUCAAGAAACGGUAACAAAAGAUCAAGAAAGGCACAAGAAAAUCUGGAAGUACCUAAAGAUAAGACAAAAAAUACCUUACAGAAGGUACAUGAAAAGUAGGGGAUACAAAUUUUGGUAAUAAUGAAAAUACACAAGACUGCUUGCAAGAUAUUGGGAAUACGCUGGACUAAAUGCUCAAUUUGCACCACAAAAGAAGAAAGUUGGAUUUGCAGCAUAAGGGAGCAAAAUUGAUUAGUUUUUGUUUGGGAAAGCUACCUAUAUCGAUCAAAUAGUGCUGAACUGGUUUUGAUCAUGUGUUAAUUAAUAGUACUAUGCUUCAUGGUUAUUAACCAGUUGUUAUAGCCAUGACAUAAAUUCUACUUUGUCCUUGAUUCCUCUGUCAUUGAUUAGUAUUU